RNAcentral lists this ribosomal RNA (372 nucleotides) under uncultured organism. Its description in RNAcentral is "bacterial SSU rRNA". It matches the Rfam family "Bacterial small subunit ribosomal RNA", at positions 526 to 896 of the family's 1533-position model. The record is from RNAcentral.
CGUAGGAGGCGAGCGUUAUCCGGAUUCACUGGGCGUAAAGCGCGUGCAGGCGGUUCGGUAAGUUGGGUAUGAAAUCUCCUGGCUUAACUAGGAGAGGUUAUCCAAUACUACCGGACUAGAGAGUGGUAGAGGAAGAUGGAAUUCCAGGUGUAGUGGUGAAAUGCGUAGAUAUCUGGAGGAACACCAGUGGCGAAAGCGAUCUUCUGGACCAUUUCUGACGCUCAGACGCGAAAGCUAGGGUAGUAAACGGGAUUAGAGACCCCGGUAAUCCUAGCCGUAAACGAUGUAAACUUGGUGUCGGUGGCUUUAACUCCUUCGGUACCGAAGCUAACGCGAUAAGUUUACCGCCUGGGGACUACGAUCGCAAGAUUA